RNAcentral lists this ribosomal RNA (472 nucleotides) under uncultured bacterium. RNAcentral describes it as "partial 16S ribosomal RNA". It matches the Rfam family "Bacterial small subunit ribosomal RNA", at positions 28 to 507 of the family's 1533-position model. The record is from RNAcentral.
GAUGAACGCUGGCGGCGUGCCUAAUACAUGCAAGUCGAGCGAACAGACGAGGAGCUUGCUCCUCUGACGUUAGCGGCGGACGGGUGAGUAACACGUGGAUAACCUACCUAUAAGACUGGGAUAACUUCGGGAAACCGGAGCUAAUACCGGAUAAUAUAUUGAACCGCAUGGUUCAAUAGUGAAAGACGGUUUUGCUGUCACUUAUAGAUGGAUCCGCGCCGCAUUAGCUAGUUGGUAAGGUAACGGCUUACCAAGGCAACGAUGCGUAGCCGACCUGAGAGGGUAGGGGGCAACACGGGGGAGGAGAAACGGUCGAGACUCCUACGGGGGGGAGUAGUAGGGAAUUUUAGGAAGUGAGCGAAAGUAUGAAAGAGCAAAGAAGCGUGAGGGAAGAAGGUAUUUGGAGCGUAAACCUUAGUCAGAGAGGACGAUAAUGACGGUACUCGAGGAGGAAGACAAGGAUAAAUAAGUG